Molecule: ribosomal RNA, 430 nt
Filed under: uncultured Desulfobulbus sp.
Lineage: Bacteria; Pseudomonadati; Thermodesulfobacteriota; Desulfobulbia; Desulfobulbales; Desulfobulbaceae
Description: bacterial SSU rRNA
Rfam family: Bacterial small subunit ribosomal RNA
Source: RNAcentral
ACGACGAACGUACGUACCUGGUCUUGACAUCCCGGAGACCCUUAGGAAACUAGGGGGUGCUUCCAUCUGGAAGAAUCUGGAGACAGGUGCUGCAUGGCUGUCGUCAGCUCGUGUCGUGAGAUGUUGGGUUAAGUCCCGCAACGAGCGCAACCCUUGCCUUUAGUUGCCAGCAGUUCGGCUGGGCACUCUAAAGGGACUGCCGGUGUUAAACCGGAGGAAGGUGGGGAUGACGUCAAGUCCUCAUGGCCUUUAUGACCAGGGCUACACACGUACUACAAUGGCCGAUACAAAGGGCAGCGACACUGCGAGGUGAAGCCAAUCCCGUAAAAUCGGUCUCAGUCCGGAUUGGAGUCUGCAACUCGACUCCAUGAAGUUGGAAUCGCUAGUAAUCGUGGAUCAGCAUGCCACGGUGAAUACGUUCCCGGGCCUU